GUGGGGAAUUGUUCGCAAUGGGCGCAAGCCUGACGACGCAACGCCGCGUGGAGGAUGAAGAUCUUCGGGUCGUAAACUCCUUUCGAUCGAGACGAACGGCCCCCGGAUUAACACUCUGGGGGAGUGACGGUACCGAGAGAAGAAGCCCCGGCUAACUCCGUGCCAGCAGCCGCGGUAAUACGGGGGGGGCAAGCGUUGUUCGGAAUUACUGGGCGUAAAGGGCUCGUAGGCGGCCAACUAAGUCAGACGUGAAAUCCCUCGGCUUAACCGGGGAACUGCGUCUGAUACUGGAUGGCUUGAAUCCGGGAGAGGGAUGUGGAAUUCCAGGUGUAGCGGUGAAAUGCGUAGAUAUCUGGAGGAACACCGGUGGCGAAGGCGGCAUCCUGGACCGGUAUUGACGCUGAGUGAGCGAAAGCCAGGGGAGCAAACGGGAUUAGAUACCCGAGUAGUCC
This 452-nucleotide ribosomal RNA is filed under the name uncultured bacterium. Its description in RNAcentral is "bacterial SSU rRNA". It matches the Rfam family "Bacterial small subunit ribosomal RNA", at positions 354 to 796 of the family's 1533-position model. The record is from RNAcentral.